GACGAACGCUGGCGGCGUGCUUAACACAUGCAAGUCGAACGGAAAGGCCCUGCGUUUGUGGGGUGCUCGAGUGGCGAACGGGUGAGUAACACGUGAGUAACCUGCCCUUGACUUUGGGAUAACUUCAGGAAACUGGGGCUAAUACCGGAUAGGAGCUCCUGCUGCAUGGGGGGGGUUGGAAAGUUUCGGCGGUUGGGGAUGGACUCGCGGCUUAUCAGCUUGUUGGUGGGGUAGUGGCUUACCAAGGCUUUGACGGGUAGCCGGCCUGAGAGGGUGACCGGCCACAUUGGGACUGCGAUACGGCCCAGACUCCUACGGGAGGCAGCAGUGGGGAAUAUUACACAAUGGGCGGAAGCCUGAUGCAGCAACGCCGCGUGCGGGAUGACGGCCUUCGGGUUGUAAACCGCUUUCGCAUGUGACGAAGCGUGAGUGACGGUAAUGGGUAAAGAAGCACCGGCUAACUACGUG
RNAcentral lists this ribosomal RNA (468 nucleotides) under uncultured bacterium. RNAcentral describes it as "partial 16S ribosomal RNA". It matches the Rfam family "Bacterial small subunit ribosomal RNA", at positions 28 to 507 of the family's 1533-position model. The record is from RNAcentral.